CUAGCUAACUGAAAUCAUAGAAUUUCUUCAAAUUCAUGAUGUCGUAAGGGAAAAUAAUGAUAAUACCUUACUAUGAGUGUCGUCCAAAUCUGGUGCCAGAAGACUCGGUAAGACCAGAGACGCAAACGUUAAUCAUCAUAAACAGGCGUAAAGGGUUUGUAGGCAGCUCUCACAAAGACAUAUACAAAAUAAAGUGUUUUAAUUGAGAGCUAGAAUCAAAAAGAGGUUAUAGUGUAUAACGCCUAGAGGAGGGCUGAUAUCCAUAGAUCCUAGGCAGAAUACUCAGGGCGAAGGCCACUCUCCACUACUGAUUGACGCUGAGAAACGAAGGUUAGGGUAGGAAAUAGGAUUAGAUACCCAGGUACUCCUUUCUGUAAACGAUGAAUGGUAGUCAUUAGUAAUAAAACUAGAGGCGAAGUUAACACAAUAACCAUUCCGCCUUGUGAGUACUACUGCAAAGUAGAAAACAAAAAAAUUAGUCGGUCUCGAAGAAACGGAGUG
RNAcentral lists this ribosomal RNA (501 nucleotides) under Coriolopsis trogii. RNAcentral describes it as "SSU rRNA". It matches the Rfam family "Bacterial small subunit ribosomal RNA", at positions 404 to 936 of the family's 1533-position model. The record is from RNAcentral. Lineage: Eukaryota; Fungi; Basidiomycota; Agaricomycetes; Polyporales; Polyporaceae.